GCAGUUUGUGAGCUACUCUCAAUUUGGCCUGUCCAAAUUUUUUUUUCCAAAAAGUUUCAAAAUUUAUGUAAAUUUCGUUUCGUGUUCUUUGGAUAAAGUGUAAUCAUGCCAGGCAAAAAGCGAAGCUCUUCCAAAAAAUCAGCUAACUCCUCCACGCCGGUUGCCAACGAAUCGGAAGCGACUAGCCCGGAGGGUACACCAGCAGAUGCUACCAAAGCUGCUGAAAAGGAGGCGAAGAAGAGCAGAACCAAGAGCAAGUCAAAAUCCAAAAGCAAGAAGGAUUAAAACAAACCAAAGAAUUGACUGGACAAAUGAUAAACACAAAAAAUAUUUGAGGACUUUAAAAAUUUACAAGUAAUAGAAUCAAGGAAAAUACGCCUUGCGUAUUGAAGAUGCAGAACCGAUUGACUUGACGACGAUGUAUUUGGAAAAUAUAUGUUCGAUCUUAGCAAGAACUUGUUCAGCAAUUCUCAUUACACGUCCAGGAAAAGGUCGCAAUUGUAAUUGAACAUUCAAAAGCCGGCAUGUCAAGCCGUUUAAUACCUGCUCUAAUUCAAGGCGUUGGAACUAUGAAACGAGCGACGAUUGCAACUUGCUUAAUUAGUAGGUCCCUGAAGAUCAAAGUUAUGCAGAAAUUGAACCAAACGGCCGGAAUGAAUGAAAUUUACGUAUUUAACAGCACUGGAAACUAAAUUCUUUAAUUUUACCGAACUCACAAUUAAAUAAGGCUAGCAUACAUAA
Molecule: small RNA, 741 nt
Filed under: Drosophila virilis
Lineage: Eukaryota; Metazoa; Arthropoda; Insecta; Diptera; Drosophilidae
Description: uncharacterized LOC26530807
Source: RNAcentral